UACGAAGGGGGCUAGCGUUGCUCGGAAUCACUGGGCGUAAAGCGCACGUAGGCGGCUUUCUAAGUCAGGGGUGAAAUCCCGGAGCUCAACUCCGGAACUGCCUUUGAUACUGGGAGGCUCGAGUCCGGGAGAGGUGAGUGGAACUGCGAGUGUAGAGGUGAAAUUCGUAGAUAUUCGCAAGAACACCAGUGGCGAAGGCGGCUCACUGGCCCGGUACUGACGCUGAGGUGCGAAAGCGUGGGGAGCAAACAGG
This 253-nucleotide ribosomal RNA is filed under the name uncultured bacterium. RNAcentral describes it as "partial 16S ribosomal RNA". It matches the Rfam family "Bacterial small subunit ribosomal RNA", at positions 524 to 776 of the family's 1533-position model. The record is from RNAcentral.